Small nuclear RNA from Rana temporaria (common frog), 104 nucleotides. Lineage: Eukaryota; Metazoa; Chordata; Amphibia; Anura; Ranidae. The record is from RefSeq and is a predicted model, not a curated record.
UUAUUAUUCUUGCUUCAUGUACUAAAAAUGGAAUGAUACAGAGAAUAUUAGCAUGACCUCUGUAUAAGGAUGACAUGCAAAUUUAUAUAAAAAUUACUGUAAAU